AGAGUUUGAUCCUGGCUCAGGACGAACGCUGGCGGUGUGCUUCACACAUGCAAGUCGAGCGAAUGAAGUAGGUAGCUUGCUACUUAUGGAUUUAGCGGCGGACGGGUGAGUAAUAUAUAGGAAUCUGCCUUAGAGCGGGGAACAACAGACCGAAAGGUUUGCUAAUGCCCCAUAGGUAUGCAGUCUUCGGAUUGUAUAUUAAAGGAGUAAUCCACUCUAAGAUGAGCCUGUAUCCGAUUAGCUAGUUGGCGGGGUAAAGGCCCACCAAGGCUACGAUCGGUAGUUGGUCUGAGAGGAUGAUCAGCCACAAUGGGACUGAGACACGGCCCAUACUCCUACGGGAGGCAGCAGUGGGGAAUUUUACACAAUGGGGGAAACCCUGAUGUAGCGACACCGCGUGAACGAAGAAGCCUUUUGGGGUGUAAAGUUCUGUCGGCUGGAACGAAAAAAAUGACGGUACCAGCAAAGGAAGCAUCGGCUAACUACGUGCCAGCAGCCGCGGUAAGACGUAGGAUGCAAGCGUUGUCCGGAUUUAUUGGGCGUAAAGAGUUCGUAGGCGGUUAUUUAAGUCUGGUGUUAAAUACUGUGGCCCAACCACAGAACUGCAUUGGAUACUGGAUGACUUGAGUGCGGUAGAGGCGAGUGGAAUUCCCAGUGUAGCGGUGAAAUGCGUAGA
RNAcentral lists this ribosomal RNA (676 nucleotides) under uncultured bacterium. RNAcentral describes it as "bacterial SSU rRNA". It matches the Rfam family "Bacterial small subunit ribosomal RNA", at positions 8 to 694 of the family's 1533-position model. The record is from RNAcentral.